UCUAGAGCUGGCAAAACUCCGUUUGAGCUUCUGAAUCAGGCCCAUCUGCACCCUGCCCAGUUCCCUGGUCAGAGUGCACCUCCAACCUCGCUCUGCAGAUGAGCGAAGCUGCUGUUGGGAUUACUGCCUGGAUGCCGCAGGAGCAGGGAGGGUGAGAUUAUACAAACCCCUCCGAGAAACACCUGAGUGUCCUGUGGCUUUAUCAGGGAACCAAAAUGACAAGUGUACGUCGGUGGAUGUCUCUGUGAAUAAUAACGAGGUUCUGGAACUCAGAGAGUGAUAUUCUCCCCCCUGUGCUGCUAUCAACCAUUUCGUCUCCUAGCUUUGCUUCCG
Ailuropoda melanoleuca (giant panda) is the source of this 333-nucleotide long non-coding RNA. RefSeq lists it as uncharacterized. The record is from RefSeq and is a predicted model, not a curated record. Lineage: Eukaryota; Metazoa; Chordata; Mammalia; Carnivora; Ursidae. The transcript has 3 exons.